CUGUCGACCUUCAGUCUCGAGCAGAGAGCAGUCGACCCAGAGACCCCAUCGAUGUGAAGCUUACGUUGUUAGAUGUAAUUCCUUCAACUAGAUGUCGUGACCGAUCAUUAACUUUAAGUCGCAAAAAAUUGAUGCCGGCCCCCGAACAACAUAAGAAAUAAAAUAAAUAGCUUCCCAAGCGCCCAGACGCUACGCCUUCUAUUUGUGGUAUGAAAAAAAUACAAAGAAGAACCUGCGGAGGGAUCAUUACACAUAAAUAUGAAGCCGUACGCGGCUGUGCUCUCGGACCAGUUUGCGGAGGUUGAAUUAUUUAUUACCCUUGUCUUUGCGCACUUGUUGUUUCCUGGGCGGGUUCGCCCGCCACCAGGACCACAUCAUAAACCUUUUUUAUGCAGUUGCAAUCAGCGUCAGUAUAACAAAUGUAAAUCAUUUACAACUUUCAACAACGGAUCUCUUGGUUCUGGCAUCGAUGAAGAACGCAGCGAAAUGCGAUACGUAGUGUGAAUUGCAGAAUUCAGUGAAUCAUCGAAUCUUUGAACGCACAUUGCGCCCUUUGGUAUUCCAAAGGGCAUGCCUGUUCGAGCGUCAUUUGUACCCUCAAGCUUUGCUUGGUGUUGGGCGUUUUUAGUCUUUGGUUGCCAAAGACUCGCCUUAAAAGGAUUGGCAGCCGGCCUACUGGUUUCGCAGCGCAGCACAUUUUUGCGCUUGCAAUCAGCAAAAGAGGACGGCAAUCCAUCAAGACUCCCUCUCACGUUGACCUCGGAUCAGGAGGGAAGCCCG
This 780-nucleotide ribosomal RNA is filed under the name Curvularia lunata. Its description in RNAcentral is "eukaryotic LSU rRNA". The stretch from base 435 to 588 matches the Rfam family "5.8S ribosomal RNA". The record is from RNAcentral. Lineage: Eukaryota; Fungi; Ascomycota; Dothideomycetes; Pleosporales; Pleosporaceae.